RNAcentral lists this ribosomal RNA (513 nucleotides) under uncultured bacterium. RNAcentral's name for it is "partial 16S ribosomal RNA". It matches the Rfam family "Bacterial small subunit ribosomal RNA", at positions 28 to 523 of the family's 1533-position model. The record is from RNAcentral.
GACGAACGCUGGCGGCAUGCCUAAUACAUGCAAGUCGAGCGAACAGAUGAAGUGCUUGCACUUCUGGCGUUAGCGGCGAACGGGUGAGUAACACGUAAGGAAUCUACCUAUAAGCGGGGGAUAACAUUCGGAAACGGGUGCUAAUACCGCAUAAUAUCUUCUUCCGCAUGGAAGAAGAUUGAAAGACGGCUCUGCUGUCACUUAUAGAUGACCUUGCGGUGCAUUAGUUAGUUGGUGGGGUAACGGCCUACCAAGACGAUGACGCAUAGCCGACCUGAGAGGGUGAUCGGCCACAUUGGGACUGAGACACGGCCCAAACUCCUACGGGAGGCAGCAGUAGGGAAUCUUCCGCAAUGGGCGAAAGCCUGACGGAGCAAUGCCGCGUGAGUGAAGAAGGCCUUCGGGUCGUAAAACUCUGUUAUAAGAGAAGAACAAAUUGUAGAGUAACUGCUACAGUCUUGACGGUAUCUUAUCAGAAAGCCACGGCUAACUACGUGCCAGCAGCCGCCGUAA